CAGUAGCCGCGGUAAUACGGAGGGGGCUAGCGUUGUUCGGAAUUACUGGGCGUAAAGCGCACGUAGGCGGCUUUGUAAGUUAGAGGUGAAAGCCUGGAGCUCAACUCCGGAAUUGCCUUUAAGACUGCAGAGCUAGCAGGUGAGAGAGGUGAGUGGAAUUCCGAGUGUAGAGGUGAAAUUCGUAGAUAUUCGGAAGAACACCAGUGGCGAAGGCGGCUCACUGGCUCAUACUGGACGCUGAGGUGCGAAAGCGUGGGGAGCAAACAGGAUUAGAUACCCCCGUAGUCCCUGUCUCUUAUAA
Molecule: ribosomal RNA, 301 nt
Filed under: uncultured bacterium
Lineage: Bacteria
Description: partial 16S ribosomal RNA
Rfam family: Bacterial small subunit ribosomal RNA
Source: RNAcentral